RNAcentral lists this ribosomal RNA (2224 nucleotides) under human gut metagenome. RNAcentral describes it as "bacterial LSU rRNA". It matches the Rfam family "Bacterial large subunit ribosomal RNA", at positions 188 to 2423 of the family's 2925-position model. The record is from RNAcentral.
GGGAACUGAAACAUCUAAGUACCUGAAGGAAGAGAAAAUAAACGAAUGAUUCCCUAAGUAGCGGCGAGCGAAAGGGGAAGAGCCCAAACCGAUCUUAGGAUCGGGGUUGUAGGACUGUCGGCAAAGAGCAAGAAAUCAUUAUAGGCGAACGGAAUGGGAAGUCCGGCGAAACAGGGUGACAGCCCCGUAGCCGAAAUAGUGAAGAAGCACGAGACAGCACCUGAGUACGGCGGGACACGAGGAAUCCUGUCGGAAUCCACCAGGACCAUCUGGUAAGGCUAAAUACUCCUCUGUGACCGAUAGUGAACCAGUACCGUGAGGGAAAGGUGAAAAGAACCCCGGGAGGGGAGUGAAAUAGAACCUGAAACCAUAUGCUUACAAGAAGUUAGAGCCCGUUAAAGGGUGAUAGCGUGCCUUUUGUAGAAUGAACCGGCGAGUUACGAUAUGGAGCGAGGUUAAGCAGGAUAUGCGGAGCCGAAGCGAAAGCGAGUCUUAACAGGGCGAAAGUUGCAUGUCGUAGACCCGAAACCGAGUGAUCUAGCCAUGACCAGGUUGAAGUUGGGGUAAAACCCGAUGGAGGACCGAACCGACCCCCGUUGAAACGUUGGCGGAUGAGUUGUGGCUAGGGGUGAAAUUCCAAUCGAACUCGGAGAUAGCUGGUUCUCCCCGAAAUAGCUUUAGGGCUAGCGUCGAGGUAAAGUCGUGUGAAGGUAGAGCACUGAAUAUGUGAUGGCCCCAUCUCGGGGUACUGAACAUAAUCAAACUCCGAAUGUCACAAAGAUAUACUCGGCAGUCAGACAGUGGGUGAUAAGGUCCAUUGUCAAAAGGGAAACAGCCCAGACCAUCAGCUAAGGUCCCAAAAUAUAUACUAAGUGGAAAAGGAUGUGGAGAUGUCCAGACAACUAGGAGGUUGGCUCAGAAGCAGCCAUCCUUUAAAGAGUGCGUAACAGCUCACUAGUCGAAUGACUCUGCGCCGAUAAUUUACCGGGGCUAAGUAUAUUACCGAAGCUAUGGAUUUACGCGUAAGCGUGAGUGGUAGGGGAGCGUUCUAUGUGCGGAGAAGCGGUACCGUAAGGAGCCGUGGAGCGCAUAGAAGAGAGAAUGCCGGUGUGAGUAGCGAAACGUGGGUGAGAAUCCCACGCACCGAAAACCCAAGGUUUCCAGAGGAAGGUUCGUCCGCUCUGGGUAAGUCGGGACCUAAGGCGAGGCCGAGAGGCGUAGUCGAUGGACAACAGGUAGAGAUUCCUGUACUUACGGUAUGAAUGAUGGAGUGACGGAGAAGGCUAGCGGAUCCUGCUGAUGGAAAUGCAGGUGCAAGCGAGGUAGCCGACAGCCAGGCAAAUCCGGCUGUCGAAAGGCAAAGGCGUGAGGCGUAUGGAAAGCUGCGGCAAGUACAGAAGUCCGUGAAGCCAGCUUCCAAGAAAAGCUUCUAGUGAUAAUCAUACAGUAACCCGUACCGAAAAUGGACACACAUGGGUGAGGAGAGAAUCCUAAGGUGAGCGAGAGAACUAUAGCUAAGGAACUCUGCAAAAUGACUCCGUAACUUAGGGAUAAGGAGUGCUCAUAGAGAUAUGAGCCGCAGUGAAACGGCCCAAGCGACUGUUUACCAAAAACACAGCUCUAUGCUAAGUCGAAAGACGACGUAUAUGGGGUGACGCCUGCCCGGUGCUGGAAGGUUAAGAGGAUGUGUCAGCGUAAGCGAAGCAUUGAAUUGAAGCCCCAGUAAACGGCGGCCGUAACUAUAACGGUCCUAAGGUAGCGAAAUUCCUUGUCAGGUAAGUUCUGACCCGCACGAAAGGCGUAACGAUUUGGGCGCUGUCUCAGCUGUAGACUCGGUGAAGUCUUAGUACCUGUGAAGAUGCAGGUUACCCGCGACUAGACGGAAAGACCCCAUGGAGCUUUACUGUAGCUUGAUAUUGGACUUUGAUGCAAGAUGUACAGGAUAGGUAGGAGACUGAGAGACAUGCACGCCAGUGUGUGAGGAGUCAAUGUUGGGAUACUACUCUUCUUGUAUUGGAGUUCUAACCGGAUGCCAUGGAACUGGCAACGGGACAGUGUCAGGUGGGCAGUUUGACUGGGGCGGUCGCCUCCCAAAGAGUAACGGAGGCGCCCAAAGAUACCCUCAGCUUGGAUGGAAAUCAAGCGCAGAGUGCAAAGGCAUAAGGGUGUUUGACUGCGAGACCUACAAGUCGAGCAGGGACGAAAGUCGGGCUUAGUGAUCCGG